AUCCAGCUGACCCGUCCCAAAAUAGGACGAAACGCACGUCAAAUUGGAU
RNAcentral lists this non-coding RNA (49 nucleotides) under Schistosoma mansoni. The record is from RNAcentral. Lineage: Eukaryota; Metazoa; Platyhelminthes; Trematoda; Strigeidida; Schistosomatidae.